This 215-nucleotide long non-coding RNA is filed under the name Mytilus galloprovincialis (Mediterranean mussel). Lineage: Eukaryota; Metazoa; Mollusca; Bivalvia; Mytilida; Mytilidae. The record is from RNAcentral.
UGGCCUUUCACUUUUUCCAACUGAGUUUGUUUUUGACGAAACCCCGUGUUUAUUAGCAAUGUUCUCGUUAAGUUACGCAAACACGCCUGUGUGUUAGAUGGACACUUCCUAAAAUCACUGGCUGAGUCUUGUUAUCAUCACAACUUUCCCUCAGCUAUUCAAAAGAAGCUGAAAACAUGCUUCUAUUCAAUAUUUUUACUGGACAUUCACUUUCG